This 201-nucleotide unclassified non-coding RNA is filed under the name plant metagenome. Its description in RNAcentral is "partial contains small subunit ribosomal RNA, internal transcribed spacer 1, and 5.8S ribosomal RNA". The record is from RNAcentral.
GCUCCGUUGGUGAACCAGCGGAGGGAUCAUUAUCGAGUUUAUAACUCCCAAACCCUAUGUGAACUUACCACUUGUUGCUUCGGAGCGCGCUUCGGCGCCGCAGAGGACACUUAAACUCUUUGUUUUUAUAAGCAUUUCUGAGUGGCCGAAAGGCAAAAUACAAAUGAAUCAAAACUUUCAACAAAGGAUCUCUUGGUUCUG